Molecule: long non-coding RNA, 872 nt
Filed under: Brachypodium distachyon (stiff brome)
Lineage: Eukaryota; Viridiplantae; Streptophyta; Magnoliopsida; Poales; Poaceae
Description: long non-coding RNA (BDIS_LNC002879)
Source: RNAcentral
UAGAUUGGCUGCUGAUGAAGAUUAUGGUAAGGUUAAACCACCACAUGGCAGCCUCCUCUCCCUCACCUCCACGAACAUUCUAGAUCAUGAAUACAUGAAACUUUCAACUCAAAACUCGAAAGAUCAAAGACGCAGGUAUUGGUGAAGAGUGAUCAGAGAUGCAAUGCACACUAAGAGCACAAUAUAAUAAAUAUUACAAGCGUGCACGCAGCACGCGUACAAAUUUACAUGUUACACCCACCCUCAGCAUUUUAAACCUCUCUCACGCACUACAUUCCAUGGACGAUGGGUACCAUCAUGGCGAUGCACGGAUCGAUCGAUCGAUUUGAUGAUGCCUUUAGUGGAACUUGAGGCUGGUGAGGAUGUUGUUGUUGACGGGGUCGGAGAGGUGGUCGAGGAGGUUCUGGAAGGGGCCGACGCCGGUGAAGAUGGCCUGGAUGGACAUGCCGAGGAAGGCGAGCAUGGCAAGGCGGCCGUUCUUGAUCUCCUUGAGCUUGAGCUCUGCCAACUCCUUGUCGCUCUUGGUGCCGAAGCCGAGCGGGUUGAAGAUGGGCCCGCCGGGGUAGGCGGGGUCGCCGGAGCCGCCGAGGAACUUCUCCAGGCCCAGGAAGUACUGCUUCCCCAUGGAGCCUGGGUUGUACCAGUCCUGCAGCCGCCGGUGCUCCGCGAACCCGAUCAGCGCCAUCUCGAACACGAACAGCGUGUAGGGGUCGGCCCAGUACUGGUACGUGCCCGCAGGCGGGAUGGCGCCCGCCUGGAACCACGGGAUCGCCGUCUCCGGCGGGACAAGCCCGACCUUGCCCAAGGCCUCCGGUGCGAUCAUGCCCACCACGCCCAUCAUCGCCGUCCGCCCGUUGAAGACCUCGCCGUAG